This is a small nucleolar RNA of Puntigrus tetrazona (Sumatra barb), 67 nucleotides long. The record is from RefSeq and is a predicted model, not a curated record. Lineage: Eukaryota; Metazoa; Chordata; Actinopteri; Cypriniformes; Cyprinidae.
UUGCAGUGAUGUCUUGAAUUUCUUCACCUGAACUUUUUUGUAGAACACCUUUUCAAAACUGAGCAUU